CAGCGCCACGAGUGGGAACCACAUUUAUUUGGCCUAAAGCGUCCGUAGCUGGCGUUGUAAAUCCUUUGUGAAAUCGUUGGGCUUAACCUAACGGCGUGCAGAGGACACUGCAAUGCUUGAGACCGGGAGGAGUCAGAGGUAUUCCUGGGGGAGCGGUAAAAUGCUAUAAUCCCAGGAGGACCGCCAGUGGCGAAGGCGUCUGACUAGAACGGAUCUGACAGUGAGGGACGAAAGCCAGGGGAGCGAACCGGAUUAGAUACCCCAGUAGUCC
This 271-nucleotide ribosomal RNA is filed under the name uncultured archaeon. RNAcentral's name for it is "partial 16S ribosomal RNA". It matches the Rfam family "Archaeal small subunit ribosomal RNA", at positions 477 to 747 of the family's 1478-position model. The record is from RNAcentral.